This 584-nucleotide long non-coding RNA is filed under the name Ananas comosus (pineapple). RNAcentral describes it as "long non-coding RNA (ACOM_LNC024703)". The record is from RNAcentral. Lineage: Eukaryota; Viridiplantae; Streptophyta; Magnoliopsida; Poales; Bromeliaceae.
AGUUGCUCAUCUCGAUUCCUCUAACUUUAUAAUUUUUAAACUGUCAACUAUCGAAUCGUUGACGCUAAUCAUUAAUCCCAAAAGCUCGAACUGUUAGAAAUACGCAACCAAUUCACUUAAAGCGUACAGAUACAGCGUCCACGGGUCUUGAUUGUGACUUGGCCCCUAACCAGCCUCACGCCAUUUCGAACAUGACUCGACCCACCCAGCCUUACGUCAUUUCGAACAUGACUCGGUCCGACAUGACCUCCUGUCAUAGGACAGAAUGCUGACUGUCGACCCAUUUAAGCCAAUAAUGUCAACUUCUAUAAUUGAUCGCUCUGCUAAAUAUUAACUCUGUACCGAGAAAUAUGAGACAUGUGAAUAUAAAAACUAUCCAGAAAUAAUUUUAUUUUCUGCUCAUAUUCAAUAUUUAAAAAAAUUACCGACCGUCCCUAGUACAAAUGACAAAAAACAUAAUGGUUGAUAUCCGAAGUCUCAAGUUUGAAUCAUAGUUGAUUUACAUUUCUAGCUAAGUUUAUUUCUAAAUAAAAUAAACAAAAUGAGUAAUAUACCAUCUAUCUCUCUCAAGAAAAAAAAAUUAA